This 459-nucleotide ribosomal RNA is filed under the name uncultured bacterium. Its description in RNAcentral is "partial 16S ribosomal RNA". It matches the Rfam family "Bacterial small subunit ribosomal RNA", at positions 338 to 795 of the family's 1533-position model. The record is from RNAcentral.
CCUACGGGUGGCAGCAGUGAGGAAUAUUGGUCAAUGGGCGCGAGCCUGAACCAGCCAAGUAGCGUGAAGGAUGACGGUCCUAUGGAUUGUAAACCUCUUUUAUCGGGGAAUAAAGUGCAGUAUGUAUACUGCUUUGCAAGUACCUUAAGAAUAAGGAUCGGCUAACUCCGUGCCAGCAGCCGCGGUAAUACGGAGGAUGCGAGCGUUAUCCGGAUUUAUUGGGUUUAAAGGGAGCGAAGGCGGGAGUUAAAGUCAGCGGUAAAAGUUGGCGGCUCAACCUACUAGUGCCGUUGAAACUGGCUUUCUUGAGUGAGUGAGAGGUAUGCGGAAUGCGUGGUGUAGCGGUGAAAUGCAUAGAUAUCACGAAGAACUCCGAUUGCGAAGGCAGCCUGCCGGCCCUCAACUGACGCUCAUGCACGAAAGUGUGGGUAUCGAACAGGAUUAGAUACCCUGGUAGUC